GCCGCAUUAACAAACCUCAUGACCCGCUUUUGCGCGGGUGAGGACAGCUGGCUAGCCAGAUGCAGCACCAGCAACCCCAGUACAUCUGAAGUUAGAGAUGGAAACGGGAAAUCAUGGCGCAACAACAAUAACAAACGUCGGAAUAAAGAAGACAGCACGAAGGGCACGACAGUAAAUGCCGAAUUCAAAAGCUCUCGGCCAGGUCAAAAGCCGCCCCCUAAAGGCACCAGGGAUGAACUGUCCAGCCUCAACAAAAUUCUGGACCAAGUAUGUCAGAUCCAUAGUACCCUUGAUAAACCU
Molecule: ribosomal RNA, 300 nt
Filed under: Triticum aestivum (bread wheat)
Lineage: Eukaryota; Viridiplantae; Streptophyta; Magnoliopsida; Poales; Poaceae
Description: partial small subunit ribosomal RNA
Source: RNAcentral